UGCGUAGGCGGCUUUCUAAGUUGGAUGUGAAAACUCUGGGCUCAACCCAGAGCCUGCAUCCAAAACUGGAGAGCUAGGGUUCUGGAGGGGAAAGCGGAAUUCCUGGUGUAGCGGUGAAAUGCGUAGAUAUCAGGAGGAACACCGGUGGCGAAGGCGGCUUUCUGGACAGAUACCGACGCUGAGGCACGAAAAGCUAGGGGAGCAAACA
This 208-nucleotide ribosomal RNA is filed under the name uncultured bacterium. RNAcentral describes it as "partial 16S ribosomal RNA". It matches the Rfam family "Bacterial small subunit ribosomal RNA", at positions 568 to 774 of the family's 1533-position model. The record is from RNAcentral.